This is a long non-coding RNA of Fukomys damarensis (Damara mole-rat), 1340 nucleotides long. RefSeq lists it as uncharacterized. The record is from RefSeq and is a predicted model, not a curated record. The transcript is spliced from 3 exons. NCBI's taxonomy places the organism in Eukaryota, Metazoa, Chordata, Mammalia, Rodentia, Bathyergidae.
GAGUCUGUACAUCAGGAUGGUCAGCACACAGUCUGUGGGACUGCAGCUUCUUUGCGUCACAUCUGCCUCGGCUCUUUGUGAGCCCUGUGAACACUUAACCCAGUGAUGACAGACCUGUGGCACGCAUGCUGAAGCAGGCUAUUAUAUCACUGAAAGCUCUGAAUGGUUCGCCAUUGCUGAUUUAACCUCUCUGCACCUCAGUCCUUUCAGGUGUGGGAAGAUGACCCAGGCCUGACCCAUCCUACCACUCCUUCCAGCCCAGGGGUAUGUCCACAGCUGAGAACAAGGUAUGGACUCCACGAGUGUUCCAGAACUUUCCCAGCAGAGUUAGGAUGAAGACUCUCUUCCUUCCUCAGAGUUGCUGCGCAGGUGCAUGUGAGUCCCAGAUGCUGGAAACCUUCCUCUCUAGGGUUGACCUGCGUUGGCUGUGCAAUACAGCACAAUGCCAGUUCCCACAUCACAACCCUCAGGAGCUACGAGAAAUCUAGCCCACUCCUUUGCUUUGAUGACCAUCUAGACGAGCUCAAAUGGGAUGAAAUGAUUACUCUGGUCCUUGGGUAAAUGAUUUCACUUCCCUGGAACUUCCAGCUGUCUUUGUGUUUCGCCCAAACGGAUGGCUUCGCAUCACCAUUAUCCAUUCACCCGGCAAGUGCUCAUGAAGGGGACUGAAUGUUUAUGCCAGGCACUGUGACAGGCCCUGGGGAACAGCUUGUCUAAAACCAAAUCCAAGCUCCCUCUGUGGGAGUUUACUUUCCAGCAAAAGCAUUAAUAAAAUAAGGAUUACUCAGCAUAUUGGAGAGCAGUAAGUACUCUGAAGAAAGAGAAAGUGCCCUGUAAAGGGGCUCUGGAAUGUUGAAGGAGAAUGGUCAGAAAGUGAACUUCUGGCAAAGACUUGAGCGGAGUGGGGAGUCCUGAAGAUACUGAGGAAAGAGCUGCUUUCCUGGCAGAAGGAAUGGCAGAGGUAAAGGUCCUAAGGUAAGACUGUCUGUUCAAGGUUACACCACUUCCUGCUGGGUGACACAGAGAGUAGAAUUAUAAAUUAGAAAGAGAUAACAUUCUCUGACUCCAAACAAAACAAACCAACACCAUGAAAACAGAACUUCUAGAACAAGUGACAGAGAACCUGGAGGCGCAGAAUCUGUGAUGACAAUAAGAGGGUAGCUUGCGAACACUGAGAAGCCAGAAGAUACAACUGAGAAGGAAAGCAGUUCGUUGGAUUCAAGGAACCACCCCAGGUCUGAUGAACACGGGGCCUGAGCCUCUCUUACCUUUGGAUUCAGAGCAUCCAGCCCAGAUAGAGCACAUUUUAGACUCAAGCAAUGUCUGUUGAAGAAAAAAAU